CCUACGGGAGGCAGCAGUGGGGAAUAUUGCACAAUGGGCGAAAGCCUGAUGCAGCGACGCCGCGUGAGGGAUGACGGCCUUCGGGUUGUAAACCUCUUUCAGCAGGGAAGCGGUACCUGCAGAAGAAGCACCGGCUAACUACGUGCCAGCAGCCGCGGUAAUACGUAGGGUGCGAGCGUUGUCCGGAUUUAUUGGGCGUAAAGAGCUCGUAGGCGGCUUGUCGCGUCGGAUGUGAAAGCCCGGGGCUUAACUCCGGGUCUGCAUUCGAUACGGGCAGGCUAGAGUGUGGUAGGGGAGAUCGGAAUUCCUGGUGUAGCGGUGAAAUGCGCAGAUAUCAGGAGGAACACCGGUGGCGAAGGCGGAUCUCUGGGCCAUACUGACGCUGAGGAGCGAAAGCGUGGGGAGCGAACAGGAUUAGAUACCCUUGUAGUC
Molecule: ribosomal RNA, 432 nt
Filed under: uncultured bacterium
Lineage: Bacteria
Description: partial 16S ribosomal RNA
Rfam family: Bacterial small subunit ribosomal RNA
Source: RNAcentral